CAGAUGGCGACCGGCGCACGGGUGAGUGACACGUAUCCAACCUGCCGCUUACUCGGGGAUAGCCUUUCGAAAGAAAGAUUAAUACCCGAUGGUAUAAAGAGUUCGCAUGUUCUCUUUAUUAAAGAAUUUCGGUAAGCGAUGGGGAUGCGUUCCAUUAGAUAGUUGGCGGGGUAACGGCCCACCAAGUCUACGAUGGAUAGGGGUUCUGAGAGGAAGGUCCCCCACAUUGGAACUGAGACACGGUCCAAACUCCUACGGGAGGCAGCAGGUGAGGAAUAUUGGUCAAUGGACGAGAGUCUGAACCAGCCAAAGUAGCGUGAAGGAUGACUGCCCUAUGGGUUGUAAACUUCUUUUAUAAGGGAAUAAAGUGAGGGACGUGUCCCUUUUUGUAUGUACCUUAUGAAUAAGGAUCGGCUAACUCCGUGCCAGCCGCCGC
RNAcentral lists this ribosomal RNA (436 nucleotides) under uncultured bacterium. RNAcentral describes it as "bacterial SSU rRNA". It matches the Rfam family "Bacterial small subunit ribosomal RNA", at positions 85 to 518 of the family's 1533-position model. The record is from RNAcentral.